AAAUAUUGCUGGGUGUGACACAUUUGUAGAUCCCAGACAUCUGGGGUAUCACAAUUAGAAACCCUUUGUGGACAUAUUUCAUUAGUCAUAAAAAAGACAAGUCAUUUUUUCCUGUUUUCUCAAGAUUUCAAAGCUCUGCACUGUAUCCCUAAACCUCAUCAAAGGACACCCUUAUGAAAAGAUGAGGAAAUGAGGCAAUGGAGCAUUUGUCUGCAUCAGCACUAGGGACCAAACCUACAGCCUGUGAUUUCACUAAAUCUCCAUCUGGCAGGCUUUGUGUUCUUUGUAACAUAGAUGGCUGAGGAGAAGUUGUGGACAAGUUAACUGCAUGCAAAUCUGGAUCUUCACACAAGAUGGAAGGAGUCUGUCAUAACUGAAACAUAUUCAGUUAUUUUCUUCACAAAUGGCUGCUCUUGUCCUUUCUGAAGCAACUUAGGCUGUCUGCACAACUCAUAUGUGGAAGAAAAUCUCUGCUUUCAGUAUACAGCAUAAAGGCACCUUGAAGCCACAUGUAGAAGCUGCAGUGACACUUGCUGGAGAAGGCUGAGCUGAUUACUUUCUGCUUCAUGGGCUGCUGAGAUUCCAGGCACCAGGUUCUUUGCUGUACUGAUUACCCUUGCAUUUUAGCCCAUUAAGCAUUGCAAAUCUGCUGAGCUAUCCAACUUUUAUUCAGAAACCUAAAAAUUGUGCCAUCAUCAAGCACUCCACAGAUUGCCCCAGAUAUUACAGCAGCACAAUCACUCUACUGUUUAGAGUACUUUGUUCCUGUCUCUGUGAAUUAUGGGGUGUAACAUCAUGACGUGUUGUUAAAAGGGGAGGUAACCCAACAUGACAUGGCAUAAUGGGAUACAGCCUGUGGGUAUAGGGAGAAGGGUGGGAAGGGUAAUACAACUAGACCUAUAUCUGAUGAAAAAUCAGUGACCAAAAUUUAGCCAAGUAGUCACUUGUAUCUUACCAGAUUAUUCAAAAAUGAGUCAAAUUUUUGUUGUACUGUGACUUGAAAACAAAGUAAACUGAUCCAUAGCUAUAAUAAUUAAACUCAAUAUCUUUAUUUGUAUUUCAAAUAAAUCUGCAGCUGAUCCAAAAGAUGUCCCAAUUUGUCAACAUUAGCAGCUUUUGUUAAACUGAAACGUUCUGUAGAGUACGUGCAGUUUCACCAAAGUUUGGAAUAGAACAGGGAUGGAUUUCAAAACACAUAGGUUUCCAUCAAGAAUGUGUAUGGCUUCCCACUCCUUCCAGUCUUACAGCUCCUUGGCAGCAAAAGGCUCCCAAGAUCCAUCAGUCUGUCAUGGGACCGGAACUCCUCUUGCCAUCAGAGAUGAUUUUGGCACUUGUAGUCCCCAUUCCAUAACAGAUAAGAACCAAGAGUCAAAGUGCUGAAAUUGUUUGUGGAAUGACUUUACCUUUUUCCACACAGCUCUAGUCAAAUACUAUUGGGUAAUAUUAAAUGCAGAAGUGCUGUUCCAGUGGCCCAUAAAAUCAAUUCCAUGCAACAUAUUCAGGUUUUAGCCACAUACCAGACUCCUUUCUCUUUUUUCUCUCUUCACCUAUACCUAAGUACUCUCAGCAGCAGGCGGCAAGGAGUCUCUCAAGAGAGGCAUACAUUAGCCUGCAGCCUGACUGUCCCCAAGGGAGAAGUACUUUCCCCAUCCUAGAGUAAUUGUUUUUAAUUGCAAAACAUCCUCUGCCUAAAUAAAAAUAAGAUUCCCCUUAGCAGACUCAGACAGGCCAAAGAUAUAUUAUUAUUUGCAAUACCUUUACCAUAGGACUCAGUCAUGAAUCAGAAUCCCAAGGGCCAUCUUGCUACUUAUAAAUUAAUCUAAAUAUACUGUUUUGUAUACUUCCAUUUCUGCUUAAGUUUUUUAAUUAGUGGGUGACUGAAUUAGAGAAAUGGGUGCAGACAGCAAAGAGCACUGGAAACCCUUUUCUUGCAAAGUGCUUGUCUUCUAUUAAUGUGCCCCGUUGAGUGUUUUUGAGCAAUAUGCACAGCAUUAGUUUCUGAAAGCAGAAAAAAAAUGAAUAGAGAGAAACAUUUGAAAUGGCUGAGAAGCUUUCAGAGUGCAGAGGGGAAAAAAAUAAAUAAAAAACAAGAAUCUGUCACCUGGUAAUUACAAAAUGUUUUAUACCAUGUAACCUUUGAACGCAAAAGUUUAUGUUCUUGCCAGGCCCAAUGCUUAUUUCAGCUUUGCUUCCAGUAUCUCUGAUAAACUUUCAGAAUAAAUGUUGAGAUUAUAUUUUGUGAUUUAUCAGAUCACAGUGACCCAACCUUUCUUGCAUCUCUUCACAUAUUUCUGAAAGGUAACUCAGAACAAAAGAGCAACAAGGUAAUGUGUCCCUGCAAAUAUAAUGAAGACCUCUCUCCUCAGUUCCAAAUCUACCAUCUCUGUCAGGUGUACACCAGAAGGUUUCUUCCUCAUUCUAUUUAAUGGUAUCCCUACCUCAACAGAAAAAUCUCUUUCCAAACAGUCAUUACCUCCAGAAAAAGACUUUGGUCACUAUACAUUUUCCCUGCAAUUUAAAUGCUUAUAAAAUCAGUCCAGUAGGCCUCCAAAGUCUGUCUGUAAGGGCACCAUCUGAUGACUCACACUCAUGUUACAGAUGAGAACUAAGAUGGAACAGAAUCAGCAACUCACUGCAUCUUUGCUGAGUUGGCAGAAAUCUCAGAAACCAUAGCUCUGGAUGUGAGAACAGAACAGGAAAGAAAGGAAAGGAAAGGAAAAGGAAAGGAAAGGAAAGGAAAGGAAAAAAGGAAAGGAAAGGUGUGGAAAGGAAAGGUGUAGAAAGGAAAAAAAAGGAAAGGAAAGGAAAGGAAAGGAAAGGAAAGGAAAGGAAAGGAAAGGAAAGGAAGGAAAAAGGAAAGGAAAGG
This is a long non-coding RNA of Cygnus olor (mute swan), 2866 nucleotides long. RefSeq lists it as uncharacterized. Lineage: Eukaryota; Metazoa; Chordata; Aves; Anseriformes; Anatidae. The record is from RefSeq and is a predicted model, not a curated record. The transcript has 5 exons.